UGAAUCAGUAACAUCUGUGACUGCAGGGCAGCCCGAGUGGGAAUGGUUAGGGGGUUAGGCAGAUUUCCUGCAUUUCAAGGCUCUUUUCCUCUGAAGAGACUGCUUUGGGACAAUCCAAUUGCAUUUAAUGCUGCUUCUUUCCUUUUCCUUUUUUUUUUUAUUUUUUUUUUCCCUUUUGGUGUGUGUGUGUGUGUUGUUUUAACCCCAUCUUUUCUCUCCCUUUUUUUCCCUCCUUUCAGCCCCACCCAAGUUGUUUGGGUUUAAGAAGUAAAAAUGAUUUUAAGGACGCACGCCAGCAUUUUGAAAAGUUUCGGUUUCAAACACAUGAAAAGAAAAGUCUGAAGGGAUUCCUAGAACUGUAUUGCAGCUUGCAGCAUGUUCCUCUCCAUGUAGUGACCUUAGCCUGUCUGCAUGCCAGGGGAGCGAUCUCCAUCUGUUGAACACUUGUCACAUGAACCAGUGACCUACACCGAUGUAACACCCUACAACACCUGUGAGUUGCUCAACCGUGGCCGCCCCGGCCGCUGAGAGACACAGAGCAAGAAGCACCCGCGACAGCUUGGAAGAAACUGGGUCACUUUUUUUAUAUACCUUAAAGACAAAAUACGAAGCAAAAUUCUUCCUGGUAGCUGUGAAGCUGGAAGCAAUUUCAAGCCCCUUUUUUAAGCAGAAAGGCUGCUCUUGCCUUAGUUCACAGAAAUUAACACUGAUACAUUAGCCUGUCAUCCACCGAGAGCUUUAACUGCGUAGAGGAAGGCACCUGGACUCGAAGGAUCGAAGCUCUGCUCGCUUUUCUCAAGUUGGAUAUUCUGGUGCUUCUGGUGAGUCUUGCAUAUGUAGAAGCAGCAGAACUUGUCUCAGGGAAUAAAGGCAUCGCCACGGGAAGGGACAGAUGGUAUAUGUUCCUGAGACCCAGCUACGGAUUGAUGCUCCUAAGGACAGCCGCUCCCGCAGGUGGGAGCGUGUUUAAAUGAGCCGGUGGCACAGAAAGUUGGGGAAGGAAGGAGCGCCUCGGGUGAGUGAUCUUCUGCGGGAUUUUGGACCCAGGACCCUUCUCCUCAUGAAGCUGCUGAGGUCAGCUCUUUGGAAGUUGGGUGCUGGAAAUCUCCCCAGGAGGGCUGGGCUCCAGCGGGAUGGAGAAGGCUGGGGCUCCCAGGCAGCUGCCUCCAACCCUUGCACCAGCUGUUCCGUGGGUAUUUCCUAAUACUUUCUUCACUUUUAUUUAUUUUAAUUCACUUCAAAGUUGUAUUUGAAUAGAAGAGCCUGAACCGGUUGUGUGUUCAGUGACUGACUGAGAUCCUGAGGCCUUUUUUUGUCGCCAGAAGCCGCCUCACCUGCCUGGAGGCACGGAGGUGGGGCACUUACUGGAAAGUCGGCUCUCUGGGACACAGCCUGGUGUCAAACUAGCUUAUUGUUUCCAAAAAAAUGGUAUUUUUCCCACCUGUUUUUUAUUUGUUUGAAAGUAGCUUUUUUUUUUUCACACAAAUUUCUGCCAAAAGGCUUAGUAACUCACCUCAGCCUGUGGCCAGCACCAGUCUUUUGACGCAAAAGUGCAAAUGUUGGUUUAGAUAAGUUACGUGUUUUGCAUGGGGAAAACGUUUUCCUGACCCACACUAGUAGAGGAUGUUGUUCUCUGAUUUGUGAGAAUUCCUAAACCUCUCUAAAAUCUUCUGUUUGAUUUUCAGUCUUUAUUAUGGUAAGUUGAGAUGUUUUUUAUUUGCAACAUUAUUGUUCCUAGUGUGAUUGUUCUUGCAAUUAGAAAAUAAUACAGAUUAAAUGAUAGUUACAGUUUUGAGUUUUCCAGGUUGCAGAAGGUGUGCAUCUAUAUUUUCCUUCAAAUUUUACACUUUAAAAGAUUAAAAGAAUAUAUAUUAGGACAUAGCUGAAGUAUUUCUUUAUCCCCGAUCCCCGUAGGCUGUCUGCAGCUAGUCUGGGCUGAGGAUGAGCUUGGAAAGAAUACUUCUAUGCUCCUAGAAUAUAAAUUAAUUGCUAACUUCUCCAAGUUAAAAUGGUGAUACUAUGUUUUGUCUUCUAAGAACAAGCAGGGAUAUCAAUUAAAGUGUCACAAGUAAACCCUGAAUUGUUGUGAAGUAACAUCUGAUUUCCUAGAUUCAUCUGAAAGGUAUGUUUUCAGAUCUCAGAAGCCUCUCCUUAACCCCUGUUCCACAAAUAGCCUUAUGCUAGGAUGAAGCAGAGACAAAUACACAAUAGAACUUAAAUAUCUGCUUAAUAGGAACUGCUGAGGGGUGUGUGCUAUAUCUUCUCAUAGCAACCAUAGGCCACAUUUCAGAGGUGGAGGCUGAAUGGAUCAAAUGCAAUGGUUUCCAUGGUUGCACAGGGUUUCAUGUACCCAAUAACAUUAAUAUUCCGGUCCUUAAUAGAAUAACUUGUACAAAGGCAUUUUUCCCUCUUUAUUUCCUAUCUUAAAUUAUUAUUCUAUGGAUGAUUGCAUGGAAUUAGCACAUUAAAGUUAUAUUUAAUCUUAAAAUGUUCUUGAAAUUGUUUUUAGCAUGGGCUCAAGUCUGUAGUACUUACGCGAGCAAAAUUUCAGGUGCCUCCUGAGUCAACCCUGUAGAAUUUGGCUGGUGAAAUAAUGAUUUUUUUUUUCUCUUACCAGCUUGCUAAUAUCAUUUAUCUUAACAGAAGUUUGAUUGCCAUUUCUAGUCUGGCAAAGUCAGGUAUAUUGAUGAUGGCUGACUGUUUUUGGAAGACAAUGUGAGGCUGAGAGCUUACAGGUGGGAUCUCAGUUGUGAUAAUGUGACUUACAUUUUAAGCCCAGUGAGUUUUGCUGGAUCAAUGAAAAAUCCUUUUUAAGGGAAUGCCUCCUUUUGUGUUUUAUUACCAAGUUGGAGGUGAUUAUUGUUCUUGCUUUUGUUAUUAUCUAGGCUUCUAGCAGGCUCGUCUCUGCUGGAAAUUGUCCACUACCUCAUUUUUUAUGUCCUUCUGAAAAAUCGCAGUUCUUAAUUUUGGUAGCUAUUAUGAAAACAGCACUCCAGAAUUACACUUGAGCCAACAGUCAUAGAAAAGUCCCCAGUAAACAGUGUGUCUGGAUAGUUCCACUUGACCAGGACUUUCAUACAACUUAAAACAACAAAUGCUUGGGGAUUCCUUUUAAAGUGCAAAUAAUUUGCAGGUGCUGCCCUAGUUCUGGGAUAAGCCAUGGCUGAAUGAGGGGUAGUAUCACCAGGAAAGCUUGUUGUAGGGAAGAUGCAUUGUGUAAUUCUCCAGCUGAUUUGCUGAAUUAAAAACUGUUCUGGCAGUCCUAUUUGACAUUUCCAGUCACAGUGGGUAUAUCCAGCCCUACUGAAGCAGGGGGCAUAAGCAUCCAUACCAGAACCAUAGAAUAAAAUAUGCAGAGGUCUUGAGAGAGCUCUUUAGAAAAAAGAAAAAAAGAAAAAAAAAAAAAAAAAAAAACAACAAAAAAAACCACAGUGCUUAAAGAAAUUGUCCAAAUUUGUGUGACUUUGAUAUCUCUAAUGGCUAGUAGCUACUGCGAUGUAAUCAGUGCUGACUUCUGGCCUCUGCUCUACAACUGGAAAUCUGUGUGAGCAUGUAGAGCUCUCUAAACCUCCCAGUGAUUAAUCUGAAGUGUUUGUUAUCUGGCUCACAGAUGUCUAUUAAAGUGCAGUUUACAGAGACGAGCUCAAUGUGCAAAAAGGUUGAAUUUUUAGCUUGUGUAAACUGUUGUUUGCCCACUGAAGUCAACAGAGUUGUCUUUUGAUGAACCCCCAGCAGAGGAUCUGGUCUCUAACGAACUUUCAAUGUAUUGUUCUUGGCUGUGUCUAUGAAUAUUUCAGAGUGUGCUGAAGCUGGGCUCUGAAUGCAUUCAUUCAUAAACCACUGUAUAAAUGAUCAAAGGCAAGGCUUCUUGAUCUUGAAUGCAAUAAAUCCUCUGCUUUCAGGUUUACUGGACUGGAGACUAUCGUAGAAAUACUUGUUCCUCACAUACAGAUGAGGAAGCUGGAGUCAAGUAUUGCUCACUUUGGACAAAUGCCUCUGGAAGUCCCCAAAUUGCUUUGCACAUCUAACAGAUUGGACAGAAGCAGCUCAGCCUCCACAAACAGCAGUGUUGUGCUGGGUACGGUCUGCCUGCACAGAUCAUGUUUUUGGAGACUUUUGUUUACUGCCUGAGGUCUAAUAGUGACAGAGGAGAAGGGCGUUUACCUGAAUAUCUGCAAAAUGCAAUCAGAAGGAAAGGCAACUAAUUUAAAAUCAGGCAGUAUGUUCAGAUAAGCUUAUUUUUGGCUUUCAAAUUUUUUGCUAUAAACACAUUGUAUAGAUUAUUAACAAAGACUUGCUUUUUAUUUUAUUUUAUUUUAUUGUGCAUUUAUGUUUGUUCAGCAUCUUGGAGAUUUCUUUUCAGAACAAUGGUAAAGCCUUAGAGCAAAAGUGAUGUGAAGCAGGUUUUGGGGUCGUGAAACAAGUACAUGACUUCUCCUUAGAAUUGAUUUUUUCCAGCCAUCCAAGUAGUUACAUUCACAGAAGUAUUAUUUAAAGACAAUAUUUUCUAAGGGUGUUUAUAUCCAGAUAAUGUUAGAGAAACAUGUACAAUGAAGACUAACUGAAAAUAAAGCUCAGAACUUCUUCACCCUUUCUAGGUUUCUUAAGGGAAUGUUAAUUCUCUCUGCAAUAAACUACGGCACUGUUAAGUGGGAUUGGCAAUGCUUAACUCUGAACUCAUUUAAAAUGAACACUCAAAAAUACUGUACAAUUGGGAUUUGCUUAACCCCAUGUAUAUCACUGUGGAUUUCCCCCAUGCUAUACGGGCUGAAAUUUUUCAACUCAAAACCGUCUUCAGUAAGGACUCCCGUGGUGCAUAUCUUCCUUGCAAAGGGCAGAGAAGCAGUGACAGGUGGGAAAUAUAGUCUUGAGAGGCAAUAUUUCCUAGGAGAAAUACUUUUAUUUCAGGAUGAAAUAUUUCAACUUCAAAUGUCUUAACUUCUUUCAAGUUCUUUCUCUACAGGAUUGCUCACCUACUGCUAACACUGGCCGGGUAUGCCAGAAGCCCUGUGCACAUGCUUGAAGUUAACCAAACCAAACUACAUUACCUAGUAACAGAGCCUGCCAUCCAGAGGCAAAAGAAAUAUGUGGCAUGAAGACUAACUGUGAAGGUUUCCCAGCUACAUGUCUAUGAUACCAGUACCAACCCCAUCGCCCAAGAUGGAUGACAGCCCCAUUCUGUUAGAAACUACUGUUGUUUCGGAGGUUAAUGGAUAAUCCUGCCCUUGUGAAUAGGAAUGUUGCCAGCAACAACAACUGGGAGAAGAUUAUUGACUCUCUGAAGCAAAGCUUAGAAGAUAAUUGUUGUGUUUAAAUGCUAAUUCUAUAGUAUUAUCCCAGUAACUUGUUGAUGCAUCUAAGAGUUGCUUGAUGUCUAUCUGUACACACCCACACAUGUGCACACACUUGCCUGUGGGAAUUCACAUGCUUCUGCUGAUAUGUAUGCAAAAGAUUUGCUGUGUUUUCUUAUUUGUAAACAGAAAAUGACUGGAUUCAUUUCCUGAUAAAGGGAGCUAUUCCAAACACACCACCAAUUCACUGUCUAUGUUCAUCUUGCAAGCUGAUCAGUUCAUCCUCGUGCACUUGCAGCCAUGGUUCAAGAUACAGAAGCUGCAGAAAUGCCACAGGACAAGCUAAAGCUGCAUGUUACCAACCCCCCACUAGAGAGGUACUUCACCCAUUGGGAGAAGCAUACACAGACCAUUACAUCUUUCACUCGGCAGGGUUUGUAUGACAUGAGAAUUGCUACCUGCCACCCAAUGUGUCUCAUGCUGAGAGACAGGACUCUGUAGUACUGGAGCCUGGCUGUCUGCAGUCGGGGCUGCUGUACUACAUCCAAAGCAAGCUCGCCAGUCAGCAAACGCUGCAUUAAUCUUUUGGGGAGUGUUUGUUUUGCUUGUUUUGCUAGGCUGAGUUUCAAGCAACUGAUAAUGUGUUUGUGAGCAGUUCUCCUGUUGCAGCCCAUUUUUCAAAGGAAGUGCGAAGACCGAUGCUCCCAAGGUUUGGUGGAACAUGGUUGUGAAGGGUUAUAUAUGAUCUUGCUUCGAUGUGUGAGCGUACGGUGCUUUCAAGUGCAUGGUAAUAUGUCUGUGCAGGUACAUCUGGGAUAGUGGAGUUAUGGCUCUGUGUGAAGUCUGAUGAGUGUUUUUAAAAAUAUGCCUUGGUCAUGGUUCUUCUCUAUGGGUGCUAAUUCCGCUCAUGCAGCUACCUCACUGCAAGUGAGAUGUGCGUUUCCUUGCUCAGUAAUAGUCAAAUUUUCAAACUGCUGAAAGAUAAACUCCGAAGCCUUCUGAGAAUUAAAUGAGAUAACCACUUUAUUGCUUAAAGGUUUAUGAGAAUGGAAAUGCCUGGAAUUUCAGGAGGAAAAUGACAAUGUAUAUGGUUUGUCGCUACUUGCAGUGUUGCUGCUCUGUCCAGCUGCAUUACUGUUGUUAUUGUUCUCAUAGGCACUUAAAAUCACUUCCUUCAAUAUAUUUAUGCAUUUAGUUUCUCCUAGCAAAAAGGAAUUUAAAUACCUUUUAGGAUGUGGAAAGUUCAGAUAUGAUUCCAGAGCCUCCCAGAUGUGUAGGACCGUAAAAACAAGAAACAUUUUUCAGGACUUUUUAAAGCUUACUCUCCAUUGUUAUUAACCUAAUCUUUCACCUUUUCCCAGUCGCAAUAAAGAUGAUUUCAAAGGCAGAAAUGAGAAAAAAUAUAUUCUUUCGAAUCUACCAGUUUGGGGGCCUGUUGCACACAUUUUUUCUGUUUCUUUGUGGUUUUAAAUUACAUUUCUGCUCUGAAGUCAAAUCAUCCGUUAACAUGUUGGUCUGGAAGGCCCCAAAGCUGCUGCAGACCUGGCAUGCAGCAAGCAGGCUGGCUAAAUGGGGAAAGCUGUCGCUCAUCCUCGCCUGCCGCAGACACAAGUGCUGUGAGAAUUCCCCUGGUGCAGGGAAGUGUUGUGGUAUCAGACUCAACAUUUAUUGGUGUAGUAACAAGUGAGUUCCUCCAGGCCCAAAGUAACAUUAUAAAACUCCCCUUUCCCCAAAUCAGCUGCUUGAAUUCGAUUUAAGAGAGGGUUUCGUGUCUUGUAUUUUUCUGUGUACUUCUUUGUGAAGAGUAAUGCCAAUCCUUAUGCUCAGUCUUCAACAGUAGUAUGUGUGGUAGGGUUGGGCUGCAUAGGACAGUUGUGUCCUACCACGUAGGGUGCUGUACAGACCGCUGCUAAUAAUGGGGAUGCUGUCCGGCUCUUGGUAGUGAAAGGUCCCCAAUAUGGGUGGACCACAGUGUGAGGAAUGUAAUAUCAGAUGUGUGUUAAGAUUUGGGAUGCAAUCCAGUGCCUCCAAAAUAUAAGCAUAAUUCCCCUUGCAGAACUUAUCCUCAUAAUUUUCCUGAGCAAGCUUUGAUUCUUUUGUGUGUUUUCUAGAAAAAAAAAUAACUUGGAAAAACAAAAGAUUUUCAUAUGUUCUGGAAUUUCUGCACUAAGAGUAUGCAGACUUAAGGCUAGUUACUGAGAACCGUCCAAUGUCUAGCUAAGAGUGAAAAAAUAACCAUGUCACUUCUUUGGAACCUGAUCUGAAGUUCACUGGAGUGAAUGAAAGGGCUCCUGUUGGUUUUAAGUGGAUCCAGCCUUUACACAGUGAACAGAAGACAUGUGUCUUAUCUGCUUAAAUGUGAAAAUGUUAUUGGUAAUUUAUGUUGAUAGAAAGAGCACAUGGUAACUUUCUUCCUGCGUUUAUAUAACAGGAGGCAAAAGCUUCAAGUACACAGUAAAAAAACAUGAAGGGAUGCAGUUGCUUAUAGCCAGCACGAUGACAGUGACACAACCAAGGAUUGGGCUGUUUUAAGGAUAUUUGAUGGAAGGGAGGCCGUUAGGUACAAGUUUCCUGUUACAUUCCUGCCUAAAAAAGACAGCCCACCACUCAGGUGAGCCGUGUCAUCGCCAAGCUUGCAGGAGGGGAGAUGGUUCUUACUGAUACACUUGUCUGAUGUCUUCUGAUUUUGGUUCAAGUGACACAGCAUUCAAAAGAUUUGAAGGCCAUGCUGAAGAAUAUUUCAGAGCAGGAAAGUGUGCAGGGAUAAGAUGGCUGAAGCCACUAAUCAGUAAUAAAUAUAACAUGAUGCUUCAUGCAUACAGGUCCUGCUUUACAUUAAUAAUUUGAUUAAAAUCAACAGACUGUCUGUGGAUUUUCACGAGUAUUAGAUCAGGAGAGAGUAAAAGGAAAAAAAAAGCUUUUUCUUUUUUUCUUUAGGUAUGCUGACUCUGUUUGUUUCUUUGGAAUGCUGAAACAAAUAAAGAAAAUGAAUAGAAAUGUCAAGACACUGGAAUAAAACCAACAUCAAAAGAGAAUUCUUUUGAACUGAUGAGCUGAGAGACGAAAUGGUAGCAGCAGAGCAGCAUCAGUUGGGGGUCAGAUACUGUAUGGUAGAUCUCCAUAUUUUUUAGCCAUCUUUUGAGACUGAUGCCUUGCGUUACAUGAUCAGAAAACCAAUUGCCGGAGGAAGUCCCUGAAACUACUUGUUGUCAAAGAAACUUGCACCAUCACAAGACAUCACCUCCACUUUCCAGACACUGAGUCUCCAGACAAUUAACUCACGUCUGCUGUUACUACGUUGUUUCUCUCACACUUCUCCUGGAUAUGUACGAAACUGUCGAGCUGAAUUACACUUUAUAAGGUGAUAGGGAAAAGAUCUAACAUCUAUUUUUCCCUCUUGCAGAUUUUAUAGUGUGGGGGAUGCUAAUUUUUACAGCCUAAAAAACAACCAAACCAAAGAAGUUCUGCUGCUCCUGAACUGAUAUCUUCCAGGAUUUGCUCGAGAGUUCCCGCUCAGAGAUGCGUGCUGGCAAAUUGCAAUACCACUGAGAACGGGAGGUCCGGAGCUGCAGCAGGAGUAAGGAACUUGGAAAAUGCAACUGGUGCGGAAGAGCGAACAAGGUCACUGGUGACAAGGCUCUGCUCCAUCUGUGCAGGCACGCUCUUGAGCAGAAGCAUUCCAGCAACGUGGCGUUUUGUCACAUUAUUCCGUUCCUUUUAAAUUUCAAUAGCUGGUUAUUUGCCUGCCUUUGGUUAGGAAACAAAGCCCCUCUUUGUGCAGCAACACAACGCGGCUAUCUCGUGUAACGGAGAAAUGAAAUGCAAAUAACGCAGGAAUUGUGCUUGUCUGGGGAAGAAGGCAGCAUUGUCUGGUGACAAGAGCAGGAGAAGGUGGUGUUGCCCAGUGCCUCUGACAAUCAGUCCCAAAAGUGGAAGAAACCACAGUUUGUGGAGUCUUCUGAUAACACUGACAUUAAAACCUCCCAUGUCCCCAUUUCAUCUUUCACAGAAUAGGGACAAAAAUUGCUCUGCUGUUUCGUGCAGUUCAGCAAAGCAUUUAAAAUUGCACUUUAUCUUUUUAAGUACACAAGAAGUUCUCCAACUACCUGCACAGAGCAACGUUCACAUAGAAGUGUUCUGUGACACUGGGUCUGAGUAAUUUGUAAAGGAAUUGGAGAAGUCUAAGUGAGAGCCAUUAACCAUUUAACCACUUUAAACACUCUUUUAACCAUUUUUUUUUUCAUUUUUGUCCAUUUUUUUUUCAAGGAAGCGAGAAUUUUACAUUAGAUGUUAAUAUUUUUCUUUAUCCUUUUUGUUCAAGUAUGAUGCAAAGUGACUACUUAAAAAAUACUUUGCACGGUGCAAAGUGACUACUUAAAAAAUACUGAAGAAAAAUAAAACAAAUGCUAGGGCAAGGCAAACCUUUGAAUUACCACUCAGAAAUCAGAAAUGUAUUCAGAGUAUUAAUUUCUGGCACUGCCAAUAAUAAGAAAUUAGACUUGGGUCUCUUUUGUUUUGUUUUGUUUUACUGUUGUUUUGUUUUACUGUGUUGCACAGUGCCUGAUUUCUUACCAGGUAUGAACGCCUGAGGAUCAGUUCUCAAUGGCAUUACUGGGAAAUGAGAGGUUUUGUCCUGCUUUCAGCAUUUUCUCAGCAUCUUGUUGGACCAGGUCUCUUGUUUAGCGUUUUUAAGCUAUGCAUACUCUUGCCACAGUUUUUUGUUUGCACCUAUUUCUUUUCUGUCUCAUUUUACUCUGCUUUCUCCAGCCCUCACCUCAUUUUCUGCUCCACCACACCUCUUUGCUACCUUCCAAGGUCAAAUCCAUAAGAGACGGGCAGCAAAGGAGCAAGGGGCUUGUUCAGUACCAGCCCCCCCCAAAGAGCAAUGCUAACUUGCACUGUGCAUAUGAAGAGCUAUUCAGAGCUCAGAUUGGUGACAGUCAGGGGACAGUUUAACCUCUGGCAUCAGCUAGAACUGGGCAGCGACACGAGCCAGUGCAGUCGUGCUAAUUAAUGUACCCUGAGGGGACACAGCGAGGCACUGGCCGGGUCCACCUGAGACAUACUGCUGUUGGUGCCGAGAUGCCAAUUAGAGUGUUCCCUCAUAAAAAUAACCUGUACUAAAAAAAAUAAAAUAAAAAGGCAAAAUUCCAACUAAAGUAGAUAAAACAAAACUUAGACAUAAAUUACCAAAGUGGACUUGGUAAUGUGGCUCUCUGAUACAUCAAUACAAGGCAGGACAAGCUCUGCUGUCUCCAGGCUGGGCAGCAGCAUCGGUGCUAACUUCCCUCACCUGCAUGGGCUGGGGGCUGAAGGUAUUCACACCCAUCAUCUCCAGCCAUCCUCCAUUAGAGAGCAGGGCUGAACAUCUCAAGAUCACAAUCUCUGCAGCUGGCAGGGGAUGUCUGGGAAAGGAUCUCAUCCUACACCAGACACCAAAUAGAUACACUUCAGAGUGAACAAAAAGUCAGGAGAGGCUUUGGUUCCUCUCCUGCUUCUGGUUUAACACCAAUAGUGUAUUGUCCUUUGCAGGCUCUCAGUUUCAAGUUCUUCUAUGACCAGUCUGCAGUCCUCAAGCUGAUUAUCACUGCAUUGAAAAUCAAGCUGUUGUUGGAGUAUGGCGGGGUCUUGCUUUCAUCAGCCGACCAGUUCUUGAUAACUGAGGCAAGGAAGCACUUUGUUCAGACUAGCUAGAGUCGUGUUAAUCUGCUUUUUUCUCUGUAGAUGUGUUUGUGGUGGAUGGGGGAUCUUAAGCAUGUAUGCACUUGAAAUAUCUGAAUGUUUCUGAUGAAGAAGACCCCAAGGACCUUAACCUCAUGUGAAAGCCAAACCCUCAGUAUGCUUUUCUAGAGAAUGCUCUUCCCUCAGCUGAAGAAAAUCAACUCUGGGAUUGAUGUGAGUAUAUACCUUACAAUAAACUACUAUUCCACUAAAAAUUAUUUUAUCAGACUUUAUAUGGUGAAAGCACAUAGCUGUAUGGGGCACUACUUUACAGCUGACCUGGCUGGUAGGAGAGAGGAAGCCAUUUGGCGAAUCAGACCAGACCAAAUGGCAUUCAUUUGGUUAAUCACCAGCUAUUAAAAUAGCAUCAAAUCAUAGCAACCUAUUUGUUUAUCAUUCAGGGCACAAUUUUCUGCACAGUAUAUUCAUAACUGCUGUACCCAAGCUAAUUUUAAAUGAGCCAACAAAGCCUGUUUUUCAGCACUCUCCUGGGAAAUGGAUCUGUAGACUGAUCGAUCUCACUGCUUCUGGGGCUAAGGCCCCACAAAAUCAGAGCUGAUGACAUUGGUGUUUAACUAUGAAAAAAAGCUGAAUGCUUCCUUUAGAGACAUUUUUAAAGCUCUGCAUGAUUUUAGUUUUUUUGCAUUGCUCCAAGGUCCAUUUGACUUUCAGUGUCUCCAAGCAGGCCACUCCAACCAUGUUCUCUCUAAGCAUGAAUGUUCAGGCACCACUGCAGACCACUUUGUGAUUUCUAUUUAGAGACAACAUUCAGCAGUUCCUUGGUGGCUCCUCUGUUUUUCACCAAGAAUUCAGCAAAUGAUGAAAUCCUUUUUCUCCAGCUCAGGAAUAUAACAGUAACUUUGAUAUUGGUCAUCAAAAUGCUGAUCUGUUCCUGAGGGCUGACACCUCACUGCUGGAGUAGGAGCCCUAUAAUUAAGGGAAGCAGAGCACUAGAACUGUGGUCUGUGCAAUGAUUAAAUCAAUUGAUUUUAGUACUGAGGUAAAAAAUGGAUGAGUAGCACCUUCCCCAAAUACUUUUUUCAUAUAAGUAAAUAAAUGCACAGUUUAAAAUUUCUCUUCUGCUACAGUGGGUGUCCUCCUAAUCUAGCUUCCUCACUCCUAACAUACCUGCAGAGAAACUAGGACAAAUUUUGGCUUUGCUGGCAGACCUGUUGCACAGAUUCCUAUGAUGUUCUUGCUCUCGGUACCAGCAAAAUAGGUGUGUGCUUAUUUUUAGGGUGCAAUAGGAUAUGAUGAAACCUCAGAGCCGUAUUAAGGCUAGCUGAAUCGUUGGCUUGACAUUUCAUGCUGCACGUCAGUUGAUUGGUCAUUUUAUCACCAGUUAUGAAGUGAAAUUAGAUAAUCUCAAUGCCAUAUGGUAUACAGUAUUUAUAGUUUAGUAUGUUUUCCAUAUAUGUGUGCUAAAGCCUGCUUCAGGGAUUUGUUACGGUCCUUGUGUUUACGGGAUUUGGGUCUUGGGUGAAAGAAGAAAUUGACAGUUGCUAAUGUUUGACUUAAACUGAUACAUCGGAGGCCACAUGGGCGAACCCUAAUUAAAGUCAAUUCACACUUUCCAUCCUUCGCCUAGGGAGGCUGUCAGGUCUCCUGGGACCAGACCCCAAGUCCACCCAGCUCCAUUACCUCCAACAGCAAUUGGGACUGAGCAUCCCCCAUCAGUUAACUUCCACCCCAUCUCCUCCCCCAAGCAGCCAUGAGCGUGUGGUGUCUCCUCCAGGUCUCUAUCACAGGUGGACUUCCACCUGAAGCAUCCCUACAAGGAUUCUUGUCAGCAUUGGGUUUAACCUCAGAAAUUCUCACCUUCCAUCAAAAUGCUCCAUUCGCCUUGAAAUCUUGAUAAAUAAGGAGCUACAGGAUUAAUUAUGUGGGACAUUAGUCACUCAAUAUGUGUCAUUAUUUUCUCAAAACAAGACUAAAUGAAUGCCACAAUAGGGUCUUAAAGAGAUCUGCUUUUGGAGCUGACUCAAAUGCAAUAAAAUAAAAGCAUCUUCUCAACGCCAAACAUCAGUUGCCUGGUACAGGUACCUACUCUGGGGACCCUAGUGAGCUGUAUGAUGUGAAUACCUUUAAUACAAAUAAUUUCUUGUCUGUUUCUCAUCAAAAUAGAUCCCCAUGCACAUCUUCAGAUCCAGUACAAGCAGCAGGAAAGCUGUGGUAAGCUUUAGAGCAGAUGUGCUGGUCUUCUUGAGACCCAAGUCCCAGUCCUCAUCUCUGUCUCUGAUGCAAUGUCUUGGAUACUCAACGUUGCUGUAAUGGCAGACACAACAGAAAGAGGCUGAGACUGGACCAAUAUUAUUAUAUAUUUUUUAAUGGUAAAUAGUAAUAACAAUCAACAAGCCCUGAGAGAGGACUAGUGAUGUUCAAUUGCCCCCCAAGAACCCUGUGAGCAUUGGAACAAAGAGGAGUUAAUAAAUGUUACAGUCAGGUUUUUUGGAUGGGAUUCUUGCAGAAUAUGAUUUCAUAAUCCGCUGUCUCUAGUGAACAACAAGACCUCUGUAAACACUCAAUAUUCAAACAGAAAAUUGUUUCUUGUAGGCUUCCAUGGCACAAAAUAAAAGCUCUGUAAAUCUGGGCCUCCAUAUGUGGUUCUCAGCUGGUGUAAGUCCCUGAAUGAAUUACAUGUGAACAGAGAAAUUAAUGCUACACACAUGGUGGCCAAACUUGAAAGCAAAAAUUGCAACUGAGAAUAUGCUGCAGUGGAUUGUGAAAUAUUUGAAGAUAAAUGGAAGCUUGAGUCCUUGCUGAUAUAAUGCAUCAAUGAUGCAUUUCAAGGGAUACACAACCAUCACAGCAAGAUAUUACAAUACUGAGAUCCUAUUUGGGAGAGCACAAGGACUCGCGCAUUAAAAUCAAAGACUGAAUUUAAUCAGAACGCAAAAAAGUAAGUUUGUAAUAUUGGCUCUUUACUGUGAUUUUGAACAAAAAGUAAUUGGGUAAAAAAAUUGGCUUGCUCUUUUUAAAGAAUCCCACAAUUUACUGUUGCAGUAAAUGUGUAUCCUAUCUAGGUUUUGAAAAGAUUGUUUUCUAAAGCUGCUUUUGUUAAUCUGUAAAUGUUGAUGACAAAUUACCCAAGAGUUUUUGUACUUUUGAAGCAGUUGCAAUCUUUUUGUUAUAUUUUUUUCAACCCUCUGAAGGCAGGGGAGGAGGAAAGAAUGUGCAUGUUCCAGUGAAUUCUAAAUGAGGGCUGUGCCUCCCCUGUUUGUAAAAAGCCAAGCAAAGCAGUAAAAAUAAUAAAUAAAACAAAUGAAACCCUCUUUAAUCCA
Non-coding RNA from Anas platyrhynchos (mallard), 14293 nucleotides. The record is from RefSeq and is a predicted model, not a curated record. NCBI's taxonomy places the organism in Eukaryota, Metazoa, Chordata, Aves, Anseriformes, Anatidae.